UACGUAGGGGGGCAAGCGUUGUCCGGAUUUAUUGGGCGUAAAGAGCGUGUAGGCGGCCAGACAGGUCAGCUGUGAAAACUCGAGGCUCAACCUCGAGACGUCGGUUGAAACCGUCUGGCUAGAGUCCGGAAGAGGAGAGUGGGAUUCCCGGUGUAGCGGUGAAAUGCGCAGAUAUCGGGGAAGAACACCCGUGGCGAAGGCGGCUCUCUGGGACGGUACUGGACGCUGAGACGCGAAAGCGUGGGGAGCGAACAGG
RNAcentral lists this ribosomal RNA (256 nucleotides) under uncultured bacterium. RNAcentral describes it as "partial 16S ribosomal RNA". It matches the Rfam family "Bacterial small subunit ribosomal RNA", at positions 524 to 776 of the family's 1533-position model. The record is from RNAcentral.